UCCCCUAGUAACUGCGAGUGAAGCGGGAAAAGCUCAAAUUUAAAAUCUGGUAGUCUCUGGCUGCCCGAGUUGUAAUCUGGAGAAGUGUUUUCUGUGCUGGGCCGUGUACAAGUCUCUUGGAAUAGAGCGUCAUAGAGGGUGAGAAUCCCGUCUUUGACACGGACAUCCAGUGCUCUGUGAUGCACUCUCAAAGAGUCGAGUUGUUUGGGAAUGCAGCUCAAAAUGGGUGGUAAAUUCCAUCUAAAGCUAAAUAUUGGCAAGAGACCGAUAGCGAACAAGUACCGUGAGGGAAAGAUGAAAAGAACUUUGGAAAGAGAGUUAAACAGUACGUGAAAUUGUUGAAAGGGAAACGCUUGAAGUCAGUCGCGUCUAGCAAGGAUCAGCCCUUCUCGGAGGGUGUAUUUCUUGCUUGACGGGUCAACAUCAAUUUUGACUACUGGAAAAAGGCCAGAGGAAGGUGGCACCUUCGGGUGUGUUAUAGCCUUUGGUCAUAUACAGUAGUUGGGAUUGAGGAAUUCAGCAUGCCUUCAUGGCUGGGGUUCGCCCACAUUCAUGCUUAGGAUGUUGGCAUAAUGGCUUUAAGCGACCCGUCUUGAAACACGGACCAAGGAGUCUAACAUACCUUGC
RNAcentral lists this ribosomal RNA (627 nucleotides) under Agroathelia rolfsii. Its description in RNAcentral is "Athelia rolfsii partial large subunit ribosomal RNA". It matches the Rfam family "Eukaryotic large subunit ribosomal RNA", at positions 76 to 688 of the family's 3401-position model. The record is from RNAcentral. Lineage: Eukaryota; Fungi; Basidiomycota; Agaricomycetes; Amylocorticiales; Amylocorticiaceae.